Unclassified non-coding RNA from Callithrix jacchus (white-tufted-ear marmoset), 285 nucleotides. It matches the Rfam family "Metazoan signal recognition particle RNA". From Rfam's summary of the family: The signal recognition particle (SRP) is a universally conserved ribonucleoprotein. It is involved in the co-translational targeting of proteins to membranes. The record is from Ensembl. Lineage: Eukaryota; Metazoa; Chordata; Mammalia; Primates; Cebidae.
GCCUGGCACGGUGGCGCAUGCUACUUGGGAGGCUGAGGCUUAAGUAUCACUUGAGUCCAGGAGUUCUGGGCCACAGUGUGCUAUGUUGAUCAGGUGUCUGCACUAAGUUCGGCAUCAAUAUGGUGACCUCCCGGGAAUGGGGGACCACCAGGUUGCCUAAGGAGGGGUGAACCGGCCCAGAUCAGAAACAGCAGGUCAAGACUCCGGUGCUGAUCAGUAGUGGGAUCAUGCCUGUGAAUAGCCACUGCACUCCAGCCUGGACAACAUAGUGAGACCCCGUCUCUA